Molecule: microRNA precursor, 52 nt
Filed under: Hydra vulgaris (swiftwater hydra)
Lineage: Eukaryota; Metazoa; Cnidaria; Hydrozoa; Anthoathecata; Hydridae
Description: Hvu-Novel-8_pre stem-loop
Source: RNAcentral
UAUAUCAAGUUAGUUCUCAAAGAAGCUUCUUUGAGAACUAACAUGAUAUACU